AUGUCUGGGACAAGUGGCGGCGGAAGUGCCGCCGCAAGCAAGUCAGAUCUGGGUGAUUUCAUGGAGCAACUUAACUUAGAGGAUGAGGAAUUUGAUGAUCUGGUGAUCGAGGAGGACGACCCUGUAAUCAAUGAAGGGGUUCGCUGGUUGGCCCUCGCUAGGGUUCACACGGAGAAAACCUUCAGUCCAACGGCGUUUUACCGAGAGAUGCGCGCAGCCUGGAACCCGGCGAAGCAGGUGAGGUUCAGACCUGUUGGACCAAAUUUGUUCGUCGUUCAGGCGGAGUGCCUGGGUGAUUGGGAGCGGAUGGUAGAGCUUGGUCCAUGGCUUUUCAGGAAUUGGGCGGUACUCAUGUGCCCGUAUGAUGGAUUCACUAAGGCAGAAGAGGUUCCCAUGCUGUUCAUGCCAGUAUGGCUCCAGAUCCAUAAGCUUCCUGAGGGUUUCUGCAGGAGGAAUAUUGUGGAAUCGUUGCUGAAAAAGUCUGGGGAUAUUUUGGAGAUGAGGUUAAACGGCAACACUCGGGGUGAUUAUGUGAGGGUUAGGGUUCGUCAUGACAUCCGCCGACCCCUCACAAAAUUCGUUAGUAUUAUCAGAGGUGAAGCAAGGCAAGUUUACUUGGUCCGGUAUGAAAAGCUUGCUCACUUUUGCAGUGUUUGUGGUCUGAUUGGGCAUGAUUGCAAAGAAUGUGGUACCGGGGUCCAUGAGGAAAAGGAUAUGAAAUUUGGGAGCUGGCUGUACGCAGAUGGUCCGAACAAGCCUAGAGCUGAUGAGUUCGAUCGGAGCAAGGACAAGCAAAGUCAGAAGCAACGUUCCCCAACCAAAGGAAAGGACGCCAAGAAGGUCAUCGAUCCGGACUUGGCUGAUACUGCGUCUAGCCCGUCGAAAAGUGGCACUAGGGUGAUGCAGGUCGACCCCCCAGCUCGUAAGAGGCUGGCCAUGGACAGCUCCGGGCUGGAGUUGCCCAACAUACCGAAUGCUACGCUAGCGCUAACUCAAGGGCUAGGUGAAGAUGGUGAUGCCCCCUCGUCACCAUGUAAUAGUUCAAACAGUAAGAAGGCAAGGAUAGACUCCCAGGGUUAUUCAGAUGAGAAAUCGGCGGCCGCCUUCGAGGAGGACCGUCGGGUACAAUGA
Molecule: ribosomal RNA, 1131 nt
Filed under: Triticum aestivum (bread wheat)
Lineage: Eukaryota; Viridiplantae; Streptophyta; Magnoliopsida; Poales; Poaceae
Description: partial small subunit ribosomal RNA
Source: RNAcentral